AUGAAUGUUAUCCUUUGUGGAACAAUGGUCAAAACUGUUCGUUGCAUUUUGAUUUAUGCUGUGCUUCUAUGUAGCAGGUUCUUACUAAUGGCCGCUGAAAUUCACCGAAGCCAGUCACUACUUGACAUGGAUGCAUUUAUCGCCCAUGAGCGUCAUGCACAUGCCCUUACAGAGGAGAGAGCCAAUAGUCCUCAGAACAGGCAGAGGUCCAUUCGUGAUGUCUUCUGCAUCAAUCUGUCUGCAGAUCCAUCUUCUGAACAACUAACUGCGUACUAUGCGGAAAGCAAUGCACGUUCACUCAAUAUCUCUUCAUUAAGAGUGCCUGGAAGGUUGAGAGAUGGCACUCUUAUCGAAGUACCAGUUACUGCGGCAACACCGAAGAAUAUUGAGGACACGAGUCAUCACAUCGUGGCUUUCCAUCGAGAGUCAGAUAGAGCUGUGGCAGAAGUUUUAGUGGAGGAUUAUAGUGGAUAUGUUGUUGCGUCCAGAUUUAUCCCGCCUAAAGUUAAGAAGGCAACAGUACGUUUUUGUCACAUUGGCGGGGCCAAGCUGGCCGCAAGGUUUCAGCCAGUGCAUCCAACCAAGUAUGGUCCAGCUUAUGCGCAUCUCGACAAGGUCAGGCUUGGAGUUGGCAUUGUCCCUCAGAUGGUUACUUUUCUGGAGAAGCUUAGCAAGAACCCUGAGCAGGCUGCUACCCAGUAUGGGUAUAUCAUGUUGGCGACCCUUUAUGUUUUGGUCUCUGAAGGCCGGAGGUUUUGGGUUAUCCAGGAAUGGAAUGUAGCGAAUAUCCAGGGUUUCAAACAGGAGCUUUAG
Molecule: ribosomal RNA, 813 nt
Filed under: Triticum aestivum (bread wheat)
Lineage: Eukaryota; Viridiplantae; Streptophyta; Magnoliopsida; Poales; Poaceae
Description: partial small subunit ribosomal RNA
Source: RNAcentral